Molecule: non-coding RNA, 54 nt
Organism: Salmo salar (Atlantic salmon)
Lineage: Eukaryota; Metazoa; Chordata; Actinopteri; Salmoniformes; Salmonidae
Source: Rfam
UGCAUUCACUACUGUAAGUUGCUCUGGAUAAGAGUGUCUGCCAAAUGACUGAAA